RNAcentral lists this long non-coding RNA (625 nucleotides) under Elaeis guineensis (African oil palm). Its description in RNAcentral is "long non-coding RNA (EGUI_LNC047777)". Lineage: Eukaryota; Viridiplantae; Streptophyta; Magnoliopsida; Arecales; Arecaceae. The record is from RNAcentral.
CCCUUGUAGCCGCACAAGCGUUCGACCUCUACGGAUAUCCACACGAGAUUUUGAUCUGAUCAAAAAUUUUUUGAUCUCACCAGAGUACUAGCUUUCUUGUAGAGAUCAUAUCUUGAUGGUUAAAAAUCUUCUUUCCUCUCAAGACAAUCUUAGAGAAGAAGAAGAAGUAGGAGGAUGUUGAUCUCUACGCUAGAGAUCAUGAGAAGAAUCCUUUCUUCUCUUUUCUUUCUUAAACUUAUGCACCAAAUCUUUACACUAGAGAUGUAAUAAUUUUGUCUAACUUUUAAAUAAAGAGAAGAGAAAAAAUUCAUGUCUAAACAUAGACAAAAGAUGGAAGAGAAGGUGUCCUAACAACCAACCUUCGGUUGUUUGUAAUAAAGAAGAGAUAAGUGCAAUUUUACCUCACACCAUGGAGCAAUUCACCAUGUCCUCUCCCCUUAUUUUUCUCCAUGCACCUCCUCUAGUUUGAGCAUCCAAAAUUUGAUCUCUAUCAGCCAUCUAACACCUUAUGUGGUCCAUGGUUUAAAUAGGUGAAGGGAUAAAGUUUUUGGAUAGGAAAUAAGAGUCCAAGUAGCCUUGGACUCUCUCUUUAUUAUGCUGCCCACCCCUUCUCAUAUUAGUGCCC